UGCCCCCUGGCCCAGCUGGUUAAGGCGUGUGACUGUUAAUCACAAGAUCGUGAGUUCGAGCCUCACGGGGGCAG
This 74-nucleotide transfer RNA is filed under the name Schizophyllum commune H4-8. RNAcentral's name for it is "tRNA-Asn (GTT) (tRNA-Asn-GTT-4-1)". It matches the Rfam family "tRNA". Rfam says of the family: Transfer RNA (tRNA) molecules are approximately 80 nucleotides in length. Their secondary structure includes four short double-helical elements and three loops (D, anti-codon, and T loops). Further hydrogen bonds mediate the characteristic L-shaped molecular structure. tRNAs have two regions of fundamental functional importance: the anti-codon, which is responsible for specific mRNA codon recognition, and the 3' end, to which the tRNAs corresponding amino acid is attached (by aminoacyl-tRNA synthetases). tRNAs cope with the degeneracy of the genetic code in two manners: having more than one tRNA (with a specific anti-codon) for a particular amino acid; and 'wobble' base-pairing, i.e. permitting non-standard base-pairing at the 3rd anti-codon position. Lineage: Eukaryota; Fungi; Basidiomycota; Agaricomycetes; Agaricales; Schizophyllaceae. The record is from RNAcentral.